AUGCACCACGCGUACACUCCGGUUCGUGCGCGCCGUCCGCACCCACCUGACAACCGCUUGCUACGUUUUGCUAGCC
Molecule: small RNA, 76 nt
Filed under: Xanthomonas nasturtii
Lineage: Bacteria; Pseudomonadati; Pseudomonadota; Gammaproteobacteria; Lysobacterales; Lysobacteraceae
Description: sX9 sRNA
Rfam family: Xanthomonas sRNA sX9
Source: RNAcentral